RNAcentral lists this long non-coding RNA (13212 nucleotides) under Sorghum bicolor (sorghum). RNAcentral's name for it is "long non-coding RNA (SBIC_LNC007551)". Lineage: Eukaryota; Viridiplantae; Streptophyta; Magnoliopsida; Poales; Poaceae. The record is from RNAcentral.
UGCGUUGCUCAAAGGUGGCAGAAAGGAAGAUGCCAUGGACUUGUUCGCUGCUAUCCCUGCUAAUGGUUUGGUUCCAGAUGUUGUGACCUACCGCGUAGUUGCAGAAAAUCUUAUAGAAGAAGGAUCGCUAGAAGAGUUUGACAGUCUGUUUUCAGCAAUGGAAAAGAAUGGUACUGCUCCAAACUCACAAAUGUUAAAUGCUCUAGUUAGGAGGCUGUUGCAUAGAGGUGACAUAAGCAGGGCUGGGGCUUACCUCUCCAAACUUGAUGAGAGGAAUUUCUCAGUUGAGGCUUCCACUACUUCAAUGCUUAUAUCAAUUUUCUCCAGUGAUGAAUAUCAGCACCAUGCCAAGUCUCUGCCUAAAAAGUAUCGUAUCCUAAAUGAAGCCAAUAGUUCAGCAUUGAUAAAAAAGUGAAUAUUGUUUUCAACUAUGUUGAUACAUCUUCAUGUGGCAUCUUAUUUACCAACCCUGCUCUGCUGCCUCCUUUGUUUGAAGAAACACUCUUGAGAAAUGUUGUCCUGUUAAUGCACUUUGGUAUCAAGCUCACCAGCUCAAAUUAUCUUGUGCCAUCCCAGUUUUAUAAGUAUGUUCAGAGGGGGGGAGCAAUUUACAAAUUAACGGGUGUAGCAACAUUCGCUCCUUAUUGUUAUAUAUUUGUGUAACAGUUCCUGAUGUCCUGGGGAUAAAAUCAAUGAUCUCGACCUUUUUUUCAUGAUAAAAUUCAUAUAUUUUUAAACCCUGUAUUAUGCCCUCACUGUUAGCAGUGGUUACCGUUUGUAAUUCCAUGGAUUAAGAGAAUAAGAACAAGCUCUAACAAUCACGCUUUGGUUGUUUCAUAUAAUAUCUUCUACAUUAAUUUUGAUGUUUUUGAAGGCUUUUGUUUGUCUAUUCACCAUUUCUGGACGGGCUGCAAGGUUAUAAAAAUGAAUAUUGCUCCUACAGGGCACUUUCAUGUAACAUGAUUUGCCAGCUCAACGCCUACUGUACAGGCCCGGCAUGCAUGUUCCUUCUGUUAUCAUUCCUUUGUGACGUGGAGUUCCACCUGUGCUUUCGAGGUAUGUUCUAAACUCAAAAGUGUUUUUGUGAUCUUUCAUGUUAGAUGUUCCCAAUUUAUGCAAUGUGGGCAUUGUCUAUUAUUAACGUGCUGAUCAUUUGUUUGUGUAACAUUGGUCUUGUGAAGUUUCUCUUGUUGAUAUUGAACACGUAACCAUACAACAUUGCAUAAUUUCAGUAGAGGGAAAGUAUGUCAAUAUUUGUCAUGCGAUACCCAGAAGAGGCAGAUUCUUACAAUCUCAUGCAGAGACUUGUUCUGAAUUCUGUUCGAUAGUUGUUAUUUUCCCCUUAGUACUGUGUUGGUUCGUGAUUCUAGUCGGAUUUUGCUCAAUGCUGCUCAUGUGUUAUAUAUGUUUCCUUGAAACAAAAAUCAAGAGCCUUGAAUGCUUUUUUUUUAAAAAAAAGUAAGGAUUGUGUUUAUACUUGGCACUACAUAACUCACAUUCGUUACAGAGAAGAAAUGGUUUCUUCAGUGUGCCAUAGCAUCCAGUUGUUCAGUUGGUGAUAAAAGUAGCAAUGGAGAAUUUUGGAAGUGUGUCAACUGUCAGAAGUAUUGUCUCUGUUAAAACACGUGUAAUUUAUUUAGUAUUUUCAGCUUUUAAAUUUAAUAACAAACAGACAGGGAGUAUUUGUAUGAAGAGAGAAUGUAUGGUCCAAUAGUAUGGUGAAAUGAGAUGGCUACCUUUCCAUUUUGUUGUUUUUCCAUCGAAGGCCUUAAGAGCAGCCCUUUGAGAUGUCACAGUGAUAUUUCCAAUUUUUUGACCAUUUUCCCCUUGGUUUUUGGCAGACCACAGCCUGAAGCAGCCUGUGCAUGUGACCACACCUCCGCCACAGCGAAGUGAUCGUUGUUCCAAUGGCAGGGGCAGAGGCAGCAAUGGUGGUGCAUCCAGCACCGGUGGAAAGUGACAGAGGAGAGAUGGCCGUGGUAGUAACACUAAUAGCAAUAACAGUCACAGGAGCCUUCGAUGGAAUAUCAGCACCAUGCAACAAUAGUCACAGGGCCCAACUUAAACUGACGACCUAGACAUGAAGCCCAAGCCGAAGAAGCCUACACCAAAAAUGCCUGCCAUCUCAUUCUCAUCACAACAAGGCGGAAAUCCUGUCUCCGAUCCAUGCCGUUAGUUCCGCAUCUCAUCACGCCGCCUAUGCUCUCGGAGCUUCUGCCCUGCCAUGCGGGAGCAAUUCGUUGAACAGCUGGAGGUGCGCCACGCCGCUCCCGCGGCCGUGCCGCGCGAGGCCAGGCAACCUGAGCCUCGACCACACAGUCCAGCAGUUCGACAAAUUCCUCCUCCACGUCAGGCCCUGCCACGGUUACCACCGCCUUGAACCACCUCCACACACCUGUGUUCGCCGCUUCUUGACGGGUUGCAAGGUAGAUAGAAAUGAAUAUUGCUUCUACAGGGCAGUUUUUGUGCAUAUCUAUAUGAUUUGCAGGCUCAUCGCCAAGUACAGGCUGAGCAUGCCUAUUCCUUAUGUUAUCAUUCUUUGUCUAAAGACAAACCAACUGAGCUGGAAUUAUUUUACUGGUGCUGGUGCUAGUAGCAGUGGUGGUGGUUCCACUGGGCGGAAGGUGACAGAAAGGAGAUGACCGUGUAGUAACAGUAACAACAGCUGCAGGGGGCAGCACCAUCCAUUGAUGUUUGCAAUGCCUCUCUUAGUAGUAAUUUAUAGUUAGAACCUAAUGCUUUGAGAGUUUGGUGAGUGCUUCUAUUGCAGUACCAUGCUGGGUACCAGCUAAUGCUUGAAACUUUACAUUCUAGUAUUUGUUUUCCAGUGUGUCUAGAUCUGUAACAAGCCUGAUGUAAUAAGAAUCAUAAUACUGCGAGUGGCAGAUGUGAUGUGUUAGUGGCUAAAGCUAUCUAUCUGUCAAGCUUUAGGGAUAAGCUUGAUGUGUUAGUGGCUAAAGCUACAUUGUCUCUGCUUGUGCACUUGUGGCAUUUUCAGUCUGAAUAAACGAAUGGUGGUGGCUAAAAUGAGAUGUACCGACUGGCGAUGGAUCUCCACCUCUAGUUUAAGAUGGGAAGAUAAGUGUUUUUUUAGGAUGAUGAUCAGAAAGAUGAGAAUGGAAAAGUGAAGCAUUCUGAUUUGCUACUUCGAAGAAUUAGGAUGUUCCCUUAAAGGUUUUUUUUUUUUGGGUCUUACUCCUGGUCAAGAAUUUUUUUUUUUUACUGGGUUCAAGGGAAGGCCAAUGUAGGAAGCUGUAAAAGGUUUAGGCCAUGUUUAGAUUGGAGAUGAAAAAUUUUUAGGUGUCAUAUCGGAUAUGUCAGAAGGAUGUCGGGAGGGUUUUUUUAGAAACUAAUAAAAAAAUAAAUUACAUAGCUCGUUUGGAAACUGCAAGACAAAUCUAUUAAGCAUAAUUAAUCUGUCAUUAAUUCAUGUGGGUUACUGUAGCACUUAAGGCUGAUCAUGGACUAACUAGGUUUAAAAGAUUCGUCUCGUGAUUUUUUCAAUUCAACUGUGUAAUUAGUUUAUUUUUUUAUCUACAUUUAAUAUUUCAUGCAUGUGUUCAAGGAUUCGACGAGAUUGAUUAAAAAUUUUUGGGUAGAAAACUAAACAGGGCCUUAUUUGACCCAUAUUGCAAAAAAUUUAACAAUCAGACUUAAUUUAUUUGACCCCAUUCCGGAACCAACGAAUAAUCACACCAGGAACGAUGUAUAAACAUAUACAUAGUGGCCGUAGGCUGUAAAAUCCUUAAAAAAAACGCAAAUUCAGAUGUUUUUUCCAGAUUGCAGUAUGUGAUGUGGAGAAACAAGAAAAGAAAAAACAGCCAAGAGAGAGGUGAGGCAGUCGCGCCCUUGGGCCUCAGUAGCGCCCAGGCCCAGCACCACCCCAGCGCCUGCGCCUGCGGCCGUCGCCCCGCCCUGCCCAACCACCAGCGCGCUGCGCGCCCAGCCCAGCUGCACGCCGCCGCGGCGCCGCCCACACAACCCAGGACACGGCACACGCGGGCGCGCCCAUCUCACGACAGUGCUGUGCUUCACCGACCCGGAGGCGGACGCAGCGCGCCGCCCGUCCCUGCCUGUCCUCGCUUGCCCCGUCUCCCCCGCACCGUCGGCAUGCCCCGCUGCGUGAGCACCGUCCGCGACCGGUGCUUGGAGCUGGAGCGCAUCAUCGCCGCCCGCGCACGCUCGGGAAGCCUCGGCCUCGACGACGCGCUGAAGCUGUUCGAUGAAUUGCUUAUCCACGCCAGGCCCGCCUCAGUUGUUGCCUUCAACCAGAUCCUCAAUGCUGUCUCACGUGCCUCACGUGCCUCGGGGCGACGCUCCUCCUCCACCUCAGAGUCAGAGCUCGUCGUCUCCCUCUUCAACCGGAUGGUACGUGAAUGCUCCAUCAAGGUGGCCCCCAACACUUGCACCUACAGCAUCCUCAUCGGUUGCCUCUGCCGCAUGGGCCGCCUGAAGCAUAGCUUCGCCACCUUUGGCCUCAUCCUGAAGACGGGCUGGAGGGUGAAUGACAUAGUCAUCAAUCAACUGCUCAAAGGACUUUGUGACGGAAAGAGAGUGGGUGAGGCCAUGGACGUUUUGCUCCAACGGAUGCCUGAACUUGGCUGCACGCCGGAUACAGUUUCAUACAGCAUACUUCUCAAGGGUUUUUGCAAUGAAAACAGAGCUGAGGAGGCACUUGAGCUACUACGUAUGAUGGCUAAUGAUCAUGGUAGAAGCUGCCCACCAAAUGUUGUGACAUACACCACAGUAAUUGAUGGCCUGUGCAAAGCUCAGUUGUUUGAUAGGGCUGAGGGUGUCUUUCAGCAGAUGAUUGAUAAUGGCGUUAAGCCAAACAAUGACACAUAUAAUUGUCUGAUCCAUGGAUACCUCUCUAUAGGGAAGUGGAAAGAGGUGGUACAAAUGCUUGAAAAAAUGUCUGCACGUGGUCUCAAGCCAGAUUGCUAUACUUAUGGUUCACUGCUGAACUACCUAUGCAAGAAUGGAAGAUGCAGAGAAGCUAGAUUUUUUUUUUGAUUCUAUGAUUAGGAAGGGCAUAAAACCUAAUGUAAGCACCUAUGGCAUUUUGAUUCAUGGAUAUGCUACCAAAGGUGCUCUUUCUGAAAUGCAUAGUUUCCUAGAUUUGAUGGUAGAAAAUGGUCUUUCACCUGAUCAUCACAUCUUCAACAUAUUCUUCAGUGCAUAUGCUAAAUGUGGUAUGAUAGAUAAGGCAAUGGAUAUCUUCAACAAAAUGAGGCAGCACGGGUUGAGUCCUAAUGUAGUAAACUACGGAGCACUAAUAGAUGCACUAUGCAAGUUAGGCAGGGUGGAUGACGCUGAGGUCAAAUUCAACCAGAUGAUCAAUGAAGGAGUGACUCCUAACAUUGUUGUUUUUAACUCCCUAGUUUAUGGACUGUGCACCGUUGACAAAUGGGAGAGGGCUGAGGAAUUAGUUUAUGAAAUGUUGGAUCAAGGAAUCUGUCCUAAUGCAGUGUUCUUCAACACAUUAAUCUGUAACUUAUGCAAUGUAGGACGGGUUAUGGAAGGCCGGAGGCUCAUUGACUUGAUGGAACAUGUAGGCGUAAGGCCUGAUGCUUUCUCAUAUACACCGUUGAUUUCUGGUUACUGCUUAGCUGGAAGGACGGAUGAAGCGGAGAAGGUAUUUGAUGGUAUGGUCUCAAUUGGCCUGUCACCUACUGAAGUUACGUAUAAUACUUUGCUUCAUGGCUACUGUAGUGCUAGUAGGAUAGACGAUGCAUAUUGUCUUUUUCGAGAAAUGUUGAGGAAGGGAGUUACGCCUGGAGUUGUGACUUAUAAUACUAUACUGCAUGGUCUGUUUCAAACCAAGAGAUUUUCUGAAGCAAAGGAACUCUAUCUCAAUAUGAUCAAUAGUGGAACAAAGUGUGACAUUUACACAUACAACAUAAUUCUAAAUGGUCUUUGCAAAAGUAAUUGUGUUGAUGAAGCAUUCAAAAUGUUUCAGAGCCUGUGUUCUAAGGGUCUUCAACUUAACAUUAUUACUUUCACCAUCAUGAUUGGUGCGUUGCUCAAAGGUGGCAGAAAGGAAGAUGCCAUGGACUUGUUCGCUGCUAUCCCUGCUAAUGGUUUGGUUCCAAAUGUUGUGACCUACCGCUUAGUUGCAGAAAAUCUCAUAGAAGAAGGAUCGCUAGAAGAGUUUGACAGUCUGUUUUCAGCAAUGGAAAAGAAUGGUACUGCACCAAACUCACAAAUGUUAAAUGCUCUAGUUAGGAGGCUGUUGCAUAGAGGUGACAUAAGCAGGGCUGGGGCUUACCUCUCCAAACUUGAUGAGAGGAAUUUCUCAGUUGAGGCUUCCACUACUUCAUUGCUUAUAUCAAUUUUCACCAGUGAUGAAUAUCAGCACCAUGCCAAGUCUCUGCCUGAAAAGUACCAUUUCCUAAAUGAAGCCAAUAGUUCAGCGUUGAUAAAAAAGUGAAUAUUGUUUUCAACUAUGUUGAUACAUCUUCAUGUGGCAUCUUAUUUACCAACCCUGCUCUGCUGCCUCCUUUGUUUGAAGAAACACUCUGGAGAAAUGUUGUCCUGUUAAUGCGCUUUGGUAUCAGGCUCACCAGCUCAAGUUAUCUUGUGCCAUCCCAGUUUUAUAAGUAUGUUCAGAGGGGGGAACAAUUAACAAAUUAACAGGUGUAGCAACAUUCGCUCCUUAUUGUUGUAUAUUUGUGUAACUGAUCCUGAUGUCCUGGGGAUAAAAUCAAUGAUCUCGACCUUUUUUUCCUGAUAAAAUUCAUAUAUUUUAAACCCUGUAUUAUCCCCUCACAGUUUGCAGUGGUUACCGUUUGUAAUUCCAUGGAUUAAGAGAAUAAGAACAGGCUCUAACAAUCACGCUUCGGUUAACAUUAAGUUUGAUGUUUUUGAAGGCUUUUGUUUCUCUAUUCACCAUUUCUGGACGCAAGGUUAUAAAAAUGAAUAUUGCUUCUACAGGCCACUUUAAUGUAACAUGAUCUGCCAACUCAACGCCUACUGUUCAGUGGUUACCGUUUGUAAUUCCAUGGAUUAAUAGAAUAAGAACAAGCUCUAACAAUCACGCUUCGGUUAACAUUAAGUUUGAUGUUUUUGAAGGCUUUUGUUUCUCUAUUCACCAUUUCUGGACGCAAGGUUAUAAAAAUGAAUAUUGCUUCUACAGGCCACUUUAAUGUAACAUGAUCUGCCAACUCAACGCCUACUGUACAGGCCCGGCAUGCAUGUUCCUUCUGUUAUCAUUCCUUUGUGACGUGGAGUUCCACCUGUGCUUUCGAGGUAUGUUCUAAACUCAAAAGUGUUUUUGUGAUCUUUCAUGUUAGAUGUUCCCUAUUUAUGCAAUGUGGGCAUUGUCUAUUAUUAGCGUGCUGAUCAUUUGUUUGUGUAACAGGUCUUGUGAAGUUUCUCUUGUUGAUAUUGAACACGUAACCAUACAACAUUGCAUAAUUUCAGUAGAGGGAAAGUAUGUCAAUAUUUGUCCAGAAGAGGCAGAUUCUUACAAUCUCAUGCAGAGACUUGUUCUGAAUUCUGUUUGAUAGUUAUUAUUUUCCCCUUAGUACUGUGUUGGUUCGUGACUCUAGUAGGAUUUUGCUCAAUGCUGCUCAUGUGUUAUAUAUGUUUCCUUGAAACAAAAAUCAAGAGCCUUGAAUGCUUUUUUUUAAAAAAGUAAGGAUUGUGCUUAUACUUGGCUCACAUUCGUUAGUUCGUUACAGAGAAGAAAUGGUUUCUUCAGUGUGCCAUAACAUCCAGUUGUUCAUUAGGUGAUAAAAGUAGCAAUGGAGAAUUUUGGAAGUGUUUCAGCUGUCAAAAGUAUUGUCUCUGUUAAAACACGUGUAAUUUAUUUAGUAUUUUUAGCUUUUAAAUUUGAUAACAAACAAACAGGGAGUAUUUGUAUGAAGAGAGAAUGUAUGGUCCAAUAGUAUGGUGAAAUGAGAUGGCUACCUUUCCAUUUUGUUGUUUUUCCAUCGAAGGCCUUAAGAGCAGCCCUUUGAGAUGUUGCAGUGAUAUUUCCAAUUUUUUGACCAUUUUCCCCUUGGUUUUUGGCAGACCACAGCCUGAAGCAGCGUGUGUAUGUGACCACACCUCCGCCACAGCAAAGUGAUCGUUUUUCCAAUGGCAGGGGCAGAGGCAGCGAUGGUGGUGCAUCCAGCACCGGUGGAAAGUGACAGAGGAGAGAUGGCCGUGGUAGUAACACUUAUGGCAACAACAGUCACAGGGGCCUUCGAUGGAAUAUCAGCACCAUGCAACAACAGUCACAGGGCCUAACUUAAACUGACGUGAAUGGAAAAGUGAAGCAUUCUGAGUUGCUUUCUCUUCCUGCUCAUGAAGCCAAAGUGUAUAUUGGGGUCGAGCCAAUCGAUGAAUCUCCUUAAGAUCUCAAAAAAAAAAUUGAGUCGGUUGGAGAAGCCCUGGAUGUGAGUACUGCCUAAUUUCUCUGGUUUAGUUUGCAAUUGUUUUAUUCUGCAAUUCAUGGUCACUUUUUUAUGCAGGUGGAAAGGGGGAAACAAGCUGUAUGCAUUUGUUAAUUUCAGAAUUAAAAAGUUGCCUUUAGACAUUAAAGGCCAUCAAGUUGAGCAAUAAAGACCUAAAGGUUUGAUUCGCUUAGAUUCAGAGUUGAUCUUUGUUUAUUCCCUACCAUUGAUUUAUCACCGUUUUUUAUAUUGAUUUUUUUACAAAAAAAGAUGGAUGCAUAAAUGAUAAAACAAGCAUUUGAUAGCACAUGUCUUCCCGAGAGUUGGAAACUAAGUUCAAAAUUGUGUUUCUAUAUACUUUUUGUUUGUAGUUUUGUGAAUCACUGUUAGACAUAGCAAUGUCAUGGAUGUAUGAUAGUAGGAUACGCUCAGAUCCGCUUGCUAUUCUAAAAAGGGUUUGCAGCAGUUGCAUUGUUGAUCAAUGAACUUAGUUGAUUGUAGAAUACAACCUUGUGAUUAUUUUGGGACAUAACAAAGCACAAGGCUAUCUGAUUACACUUACAUCCUCUUGCUAAUUUUGAAAAGCUUGCAGCGGUUGCCCUGCUGAGUUGAAACUACAGAACCUUGUGUUUACUUGUAUUCCAGAAACCAGAACUGUGGAUGGUGGUGGAUUACGUUUCCAUAGUUUGUUGAGAUACCUUUGUAAAGUAGUUUUGGGCCCAAAUAAUCCAAGCCUACACCAACUUGCAUGUAAGCUAAAUGCUUUUGCCAUAUUAUCCAAACCUAGUUUUGCAACCCAGAGAACGUGAAUACACUCUAGUAGUUGCUGGUUACUUGUUACACUUGAUUAACUCAUAUAUAUCUUGUGACCCUGUUAUUUUUUGUUGUUGCAGGAAUAGUCUCUUACUCUCAGGCUAAGAACAGGCGAUUUGUCGGUAAUAUACCCCAUGAUUAGACGCAUGAUGUUUUCAAAAAUGCAGUGUUGAGCUGUCGCGGUGAGAAUAAAAUCUUUUAUUCAUAUUUUCCUUUGGUCUUCCUGCACGGCAACACCUGUGACUUUGCCUCUGCCACAGCAAGAUGGUCUUCAUUACUUUUUUUUUUUGUGUGUGAAGGAGGUGGCUGUCGUACUCAUGGCAGUGGUGGUGCGGCAAUGGCAGUGGUGGAUCCAGCACCAGUGGAAAGCAGCAGAGGGGCAACAACGGUCGAAGGGAUUAUUGUUCCAUAUUGAUGCUAGCAUUUGUUGCUGUUGGCAUUCAGUAGUUAGACCUUCAGAGCCUAGCACUAAAAGAGUAUUGCUGCUGUGUUACCAUGCUGGGUGUAUAUCUUAGAUAGUACUGGAAACUGUACUCUAGUAUUUUUUUUCUUUGUGUGGUGUGUCUCGGUAACAAACUGCUGUUGUUAGAAUGACAAUACUGCAAGUGGCAGAUGCGGUCUGGGAUGAUGUGGUAUUCUAUUUGUGUGCCAAGGUUGAAUAGAUGUGAUAGUCGCUGCUGAAGAAGCAGUGUACUCUUUUGCCGUGUUCAGUUUGAGGAACUGAAUGUGGUGGGUAAAACGAGAUGUGCCAACCAAUCACUACCUCUAGAUUAAUCUUGAAUACUACAGUUCCAAUGUUUAUUCUGUGUUGACAAAAAAAAAAUGAAUUCAGUGCUGAUCGUCUUUAUGUGACAUGUCAAUUUGCCGGAGUGAUUAUUCUGUCAUGCGCUCUAAUGUUUUGGCUUUGCUCUGUGGAAUGCUUUGAUGAAAUUAUAUUGAGAAAUGUUCUCCUGUCAAGUUUAUCACAGGUAAAAUAAUCUUUCAUGCAGUCCUAGUUACAUCUAACUGUAUUAUCGCCAGGGUGCUAUUAAACCACAAAAAAGGACGUCUUACUCUCCCGGUCACCCUGCUUCAAUCAAUCCUGUCCUGCUCCUGAUUCAAUUCAAGUCGCCGCUUCGAAGAAUUAGGAUGUUCUAAUUGACUAAUUCUUAAAAAAAAACGAAAUUUCAGAUUAUUUUUUUCAGGCUCUGCAGUAUAGAGAACAUCAGUAUGCGAUGAUGGAGAAAAGAGGAAAAAAAAAAUCAACAAAGAGGCGGGUCAAUUGGGCCUGAUAGCGCCCAGCAGCAGCACGCCAGCAUCCCCCAUCUGCACCCGUCGCUCCACCUCCACCUGCCCAACCACGCCGCCGCCGCCGCCGCCGCCCACCAGCUCCUACCCUCACACAACCCAGGCCACGGCACACGCGGCUCCGCCCAGCUCACGAGAGUGCUCUCCGGAGGCGGACGCAGCUGCGAACAGCCUCUGCAUCUCCAGCGACACACACUCUCCGCACAGGCCCCUGGCACUCCAGUACUCCACGACCGGCGCCACCCGCGCGCCGCCGACCACACACACCGCCGCUGCCGCCUCCCUGCAACCUCCUACCCUCGCAGGGCCAGCCCCUCCACGGCGCAGCAGUUGGCAGUUCCGCCCAGCCUACGCGAGCGGCUCUGCAUCACCGAUCCGGAGCGCGAAGCGGCGCCGUCCACGCCUCUCCACGCUGGGCCGGUAGACGCGCGCACGCCCCGCCGGCAUGUCGCGCCGCGUGAGCGCCGUCCGCGACCGGUGCUUGGAGCUGGAGCGCGUCAUCGCCGACCGCGCCCGCUCGGGAAGCCUCGGCCUCGGCGACGCACUCAAGCUGUUCGACGAAUUGCUUCCGCACGCCAGGCCCGCCUCGGUCGUCGCCUUCAACCACCUCCUCGCCGCUGUGUCUCGUUCCUCAGGCCGGCGCUCUACUACCUCAGAGUCAGAGACCGUCGUCUCCCUCUUCAACCGGAUGGUACGUGACUGUUACAUCAAGGUGGCUCCCAACCGUUGUACCUACAGCAUUCUCAUCGGCUGCUUCUGCCGCAUGGGCCAUCUGGAGCAUGGCUUUGCCGCCUUUGGCCUCAUCCUUAAGACAGGAUGGAGGAUGGAUCACAUAGUCAUCAAUCAACUGCUCAAUGGUCUCUGUGAUGGAAAGAGGGUGGGUGAGGCCAUGGACGUUUUGCUCCAACGAAUGCCUGAGCUUGGCUGCAUGCCGGAUACAGUUUCAUACAACAUACUUCUCAAGGGUUUGUGCAAUGAAAAGAGAGCUGAGGAGGCACUUGAGCUGCUCCACAUGAUGGCUGAUGAUCAAGUUUGGAGCUGCCCACCAAAUGUUGUGUCCUACAGCACCGUCAUCAACGGUUUCUUUACCGAGGGUCAAGUGGACAAACCUUACAACCUAUUUCUUGAAAUGAUGGAUCGAGGGAUUCCACCUGAUGUUGUGACAUACACCACAGUAAUUGAUGGCCUGUGCAAAGCUCAAUUGUUUGAUAGGGCUGAGGCUGUCUUUCAGCAGAUGAUUGAUAAUGGCGUUAAGCCAAACAUUGACACAUAUAAUUGUCUGAUCCAUGGAUACCUCUCUAUUGGGAAGUGGAAAGAGGUGGUACGAAUGCUCGAAGAAAUGUCUGCAGGCGGUCCUAAACCAAAUUGUUGUACUUAUGGUUCGCUGCUGAACUACCUAUGCAAGAAUGGAAGAUGCAGAGAAGCUAGAUUUUUUUUUGAUUCUAUGAUUGGGAAGGGGAUAAAACCUUCCGUAACUACCUAUGGCAUUAUGCUUCAUGGAUAUGCUACCAAAGGUGCACUUUCUGAAAUGCAUGAUCUCCUAAAUUUGAUGGUAGCAAAUGGUAUUUCACCUAACCAUCACAUCUUCAACAUAUUCUUCAGUGCAUAUGCUAAAUGUGGUAUAAUAGAUAAGGCAAUGGAUAUUUUUAACAAAAUGAGGCAGCAAGGGUUGAGUCCUGAUGCAGUAAGCUACGGAGCACUAAUAGAUGCACUAUGCAAGUUAGGCAGGGUGGAUGACGCGGAGGUCAAAUUCAACCAGAUGAUCAAUGAAGGAGUGACUCCUGACAUUGUGGUUUUUAGCUCUCUUGUUUAUGGACUGUGCACCGUUGACAAAUGGGAGAAGGUUGAGGAAUUAUUCUUUGAAAUGUUGAAUGUAGGAAUUCACCCUAACAUCGUAUUCUUCAACACAAUAUUGUGUAACUUAUGCAAAGAAGGACGGGUUAUGGAAGGCCAGAGACUCGUUGACUCGAUUGAAUGCAUGGGUGUGAGGCCUGAUGUUAUUUCAUAUAAUACAUUAAUAGAUGGCCACUGUUUAGCCGGUACAAUUGAUGAAGCAUCGAAGUUACUUGAGGGUAUGGUAUCAGUUGGCUUGAAACCUGACAGUUUUUCUUAUAAUACAUUGCUUCAUGGCUACUGUAAAGCUGGAAGGAUAGACAGUGCAUAUAGCCAUUUUCGAAAAAUGUUGAGUAACGGUAUUACACCUGGAGUUGUGACUUAUAAUACUAUACUGCAUGGUCUGUUUCAAACCAAGAGAUUUUCUGAAGCAAAGGAACUCUAUCUCAAUAUGAUCAAUAGUGGAACAAAGUGGGACAUUUACACAUACAACAUAAUUCUAAAUGGUCUUUGCAAAAGUAAUUGUGUUGAUGAAGCAAUCAAAAUGUUUCAGAACCUGUGUUCUAAGGGUCUUCAACUUAACAUUAUUACUUUCAACAUCAUGAUUGGGGCGUUGCUCAAAGGUGGCAGAAAGGAAGAUGCUAUGGACUUGUUCGCUGCUAUCCCUGCUAAUGGUUUGGUUCAAAAUGUUGUGACCUACCGCUUAGUUGUAGAAAAUCUCAUAGAAGAAGGAUCGCUAGAAGAGUUUGACAGUCUGUUUUCAGCAAUGGAAAAGAAUGGUACUGCUCCAAACUCACAAAUGUUAAAUGCUCUAGUUAGGAGACUGUUGCAUAGAGGUGACAUAAGCAGGGCUGGGGCUUACCUCUCCAAACUUGAUGAGAGGAAUUUCUCAGUUGAG